This 675-nucleotide ribosomal RNA is filed under the name uncultured archaeon. RNAcentral describes it as "bacterial SSU rRNA". It matches the Rfam family "Archaeal small subunit ribosomal RNA", at positions 87 to 747 of the family's 1478-position model. The record is from RNAcentral.
GGCUCAGUAACACGUAGUUAAUCUACCCUUGGGACGGAGAUAACCCUGGGAAACUGGGACUAAUAUCCGAUAGAUGAGUAUGUCUGGAAUGGCUUUCCAUCUAAAGGUUCUUAGAAACAUGUUUCUAGGAAUGCCCAAGGAUGAAACUGCGACCGAUCAGGCUGUUGGUGGGGUAACGGCCCACCAAACCUAUAACCGGUACGGGCCCUGAAAGGGGAAGCCCGGAGAUGGGAACUGAGACAAGGUCCCAGGCCCUACGGGGCGCAGCAGGCGCGAAACCUCCGCAAUGCGCGAAAGCGUGACGGGGUUACCCCGAGUGCUGUCCGUUGAGGAUAGCUUUUCCCCAGUGUAAGGAACUGGGGGAAUAAAGGGGGGGCAAGUCUGGUGUCAGCCGCCGCGGUAAUACCAGCCCCCUGAGUGAUAGGGACGACUAUUUAGCCUAAAGCGUCCGUAGCCGGCUUAGCAAGCCUUUCGUUAAAUCUGACGACUUAAUCGCCAGGCCGCGGAAGAUACUGCCAGGCUAGAGGGCGGGAGAGGUUGACGGUAGUCNCGGGGUAGGGGUGAAAUCCUAUAAUCCUGGGAGGACCACCAGUGGCGANNGCGGUCAACUAGANCGCGCCUGACGGUGAGGGACGAAAGCUGGGGGAGCGAACCGAUUAGACACCCGGGUAGUCC